RNAcentral lists this unclassified non-coding RNA (302 nucleotides) under uncultured fungus. RNAcentral's name for it is "sequence contains ITS1, 5.8S rRNA gene". The stretch from base 254 to 302 matches the Rfam family "5.8S ribosomal RNA", at positions 1 to 49 of the family's 154-position model. Lineage: Eukaryota; Fungi. The record is from RNAcentral.
UUUCCGUAGGUGAACCUGCGGAAGGAUCAUUGUCGAAACCUGCCCAGCAGAACGACCCGUGAACCUGUUGAAACAACUGGGGGCAGGGGGUGAUCUCGCCCCGUGCCCCCGAACGGUAGGGAGACACUCGUGCAUCCCUGCCGAACAACGAACCCCGGCGCGGUCUGCGCCAAGGAACUUUAACGAAAGAGUGCCUCCGGCCGUCUCGGAAACGGUGUGCGUGCGGGAGGUGAAUCUUGUCUAGAACCAUAACGACUCUCGGCAACGGAUAUCUCGGCUCUCGCAUCGAUGAAGAACGCAGC